RNAcentral lists this ribosomal RNA (310 nucleotides) under uncultured eukaryote. RNAcentral's name for it is "partial 18S ribosomal RNA". It matches the Rfam family "Eukaryotic small subunit ribosomal RNA", at positions 1470 to 1796 of the family's 1831-position model. The record is from RNAcentral.
CCCUUAGAUGUUCUGGGCCGCACGCGUGCUACACUGAUUAUUUCAACAAGUGUUUUAACUGGAGAGUUCGCGUAAUCCUGAAAUGUUAUCGUGAUGGGAGUAGAGUAUUGUAUUUGUUAAUCUUUAACGAGGAAUUCCUAGUAAGUGUAGGUUUAUAAGUUGUUCUGAUUACGUCCCUGCCCUUUGUACACACCGCCCGUCGCUCCUACCGAUUGAUUGAUCCGGUGAAUUACAUAGAAUUUUGCGUUUUACAUGACGGAAGACGAAGUGUUUUAAACCUUAUCAUUUAGAGGAAGGAGAAGUCGUAACA